UUAAAUUGAAGAGUUUGAUCAUGGCUCAGAUUGAACGCUGGCGGCAGGCUUAACACAUGCAAGUCGAACGGUAACAGGAAGCAGCUUGCUGCUUUGCUGACGAGUGGCGGACGGGUGAGUAAUGUCUGGGAAACUGCCUGAUGGAGGGGGAUAACUACUGGAAACGGUGGCUAAUACCGCAU
This 182-nucleotide ribosomal RNA is filed under the name Salmonella enterica subsp. enterica serovar Corvallis. Its description in RNAcentral is "partial 16S ribosomal RNA". It matches the Rfam family "Bacterial small subunit ribosomal RNA", at positions 1 to 174 of the family's 1533-position model. Lineage: Bacteria; Pseudomonadati; Pseudomonadota; Gammaproteobacteria; Enterobacterales; Enterobacteriaceae. The record is from RNAcentral.